UAGCUGUUGGGAGUGCACCUAGGUUGGCACGCAGCCUCCAGCAGAGGAGCCCAUUUGGUGUGGAAUCCUAUGCUCACCAACAACUAACUCAAGGCUGGCUCUGAAUGGCUUACAUGAACUUCUGAGAACUGUCAGGAAAAAAAAGGCAACAAGGCACGUUUUCAAAAACAGAAGGAAAACUUCGUCCGAGGAGAGAAGUAGAUUUUGGAAGCACUUUACACAAGUAGCUGCAUCUACAAAUAGG
RNAcentral lists this long non-coding RNA (244 nucleotides) under Phasianus colchicus (ring-necked pheasant). Its description in RNAcentral is "lncRNA (ENSPCLG00000002147.1)". The record is from RNAcentral. Lineage: Eukaryota; Metazoa; Chordata; Aves; Galliformes; Phasianidae.